This 772-nucleotide ribosomal RNA is filed under the name uncultured Neocallimastigales. RNAcentral's name for it is "partial large subunit ribosomal RNA". It matches the Rfam family "Eukaryotic large subunit ribosomal RNA", at positions 20 to 616 of the family's 3401-position model. Lineage: Eukaryota; Fungi; Neocallimastigomycota; Neocallimastigomycetes; Neocallimastigales. The record is from RNAcentral.
UAUAGAGUAGCACUCGCAUAUCAAUAAGCGGAGGAAAAGAAACUAACAGGAUUCCCCUAGUAACGGCGAGUGAAGCGGGAAGAGCUCAAAUUUGAAAUCUUAAAGGGUUUCCCUUUACGAAUUGUAGUUUAAAGAAGUGUUUUCUGUUGAGGUUUUGGUAAAAGUUCUUUGGAAUAGGACAUCAUAGAGGGUGAGAAUCCCGUAUUUGACCUUUACUUUCAACUUUGUGAUACACUUUCAAAGAGUCGGAUUGUUUGGGAAUGCAGUCCAAAAUGGGUGGUAAAUUUCAUCUAAAGCUAAAUAUUGGCGAGAGACCGAUAGCGAACAAGUACCGUGAGGGAAAGAUGAAAAGAACUUUGAAAAGAGAGUUAAACAGUACGUGAAAUUGUCAAAAGGGAAGCGUUUGACACCAGUGUUGUUUUUCUGAAAAUCAAUUAAAGAACUGUUUAUGCUAAGUUGUUUAGACUUUAUCAGCUAUCUGUUUAGUUUUGAGCUUUUCUUUAAUGCACUUUUCAGUUAACAAGUCAACAUCAAUUUCUUUUGCUGUAAAAAAGCUUGAGGAAGGUGGCUUGAGAUUCGUCUUAAGUGUUUAUAGCCUCUUGCCUAUGCAGUCGGAGAGAUUGAGGUCUGCAGCGUAGAUCCUUCGGGGCUAAAUGCAUUUGUGCUAAGUUAUAGCAUUUUAUAGACAACUUGUUGACUAUGAUUUGUCUUGUAGCUUACUCGCUUAUGUUAUUUUACCUACGCUUAGGAUGUUGAGCGCAUGUCUCUCUCU